GACGAACGCUGGCGGCGUGCUUAACACAUGCAAGUCGAACGGAAAGGCCCUGCUUUUGUGGGGUGCUCGAGUGGCGAACGGGUGAGUAACACGUGAGUAACCUGCCCUUGACUUUGGGAUAACUUCAGGAAACUGGGGCUAAUACCGGAUAGGAGCUCCUGCUGCAUGGUGGGGGUUGGAAAGUUUCGGCGGUUGGGGAUGGACUCGCGGCUUAUCAGCUUGUUGGUGGGGUAGUGGCUUACCAAGGCUUUGACGGGUAGCCGGCCUGAGAGGGUGACCGGGCGACGCGGAGGUGGGAACGACCCCAGGCGCGUGCGGGAGGCAGCAGGGGAGAGUCUGACACGCGGGGCGGAAGGCGGAUGAGCGAGGGCCGCGUGCGAGGGGAUCGCUUUCGGGUUGGAGCCUGCGUUGGCCGGGGGGGAAGCGGGAGUGACGGGAAUGAGGAAAGAAGACCCGGCUAACUCGGGGCCAGCAGCGGCGGUAGUAGGGAAAGAGCACUCGCCUGAAC
This 508-nucleotide ribosomal RNA is filed under the name uncultured bacterium. RNAcentral describes it as "partial 16S ribosomal RNA". It matches the Rfam family "Bacterial small subunit ribosomal RNA", at positions 31 to 542 of the family's 1533-position model. The record is from RNAcentral.